AGAAGCGGAAACAGGAGCAGCAGCAGCAGCAGCAGCGGCAGGAGAGGCACACAGGAGCCAGAUCCUAAAGGCUUUGUAUGCCACAUUAGGAAAGAAUUUGGAAUACAGCUUCUGUUUGGAAAACAUUUUCUGUAACCAGCCCGACAACUCAGUGGUCAGCGGAAACUUGAUGAUAGCAUAGUGGUCAAGCUUGUUUCUCCUGGGAGCGCUCUUCCGAGGAUAUUUGGGCUGUCUCCAGAGUCGCAGUGUCUUCGGCUGCCGGAAGGUAAGGAACCUGCUGCGCGUGAGAUCCCAUUACCAAGUAAAGGGUCACUGAAAGGCGAUAACAAGAGAAAGGGCUCAUGUCUGACUGCCAGUGUUAGCAUAAAGGAGAGCCAUUUUGCCAAGAACAAUACAGCCUGUGGAACUCACCAGAGAAGUGCCCCAGUAACAACCCGACCUGCAUUAUUUGCAAACCAUGACCUGGAUGUUCCGAAGAUAGCAGCCACACAAAAUUCUCCGCCCAUCGAUUUGCUGGGUGAAAUUUGUGGAGGAGGUUUAACUUUGCUUAAAAAAUAAAAUAAGAGUAAAAAACAAUUAUCAUGAUGAAAUGAUACUCCUUUAGGUAAUGACAGUUUUUCCUUUAAAUUCCACCCCUAUUCAAAUCCUCCAGUAUGAACAUGCAUUUUGCCUUAAGUAAUAAAUGGUGAUGUGAGACUA
RNAcentral lists this long non-coding RNA (699 nucleotides) under Homo sapiens (human). RNAcentral's name for it is "BCAS3 antisense RNA 1, transcript variant 2 (BCAS3-AS1)". The record is from RNAcentral. Lineage: Eukaryota; Metazoa; Chordata; Mammalia; Primates; Hominidae.